ACGCACGCUGGCGGCGUGCUUAACACAUGCAAGUCGCACGGAAAGGCCCUGCUUUUGUGGGGUGCUCGAGUGGCGAACGGGUGAGUAACACGUGAGUAACCUGCCCUUGACUUUGGGAUAACUUCAGGAAACUGGGGCUAAUACCGGGUAGGAGCUCCUGCUGCAUGGUGGGGGUUGGAAAGUUUCGGCGGUUGGGGAUGGACUCGCGGCUUAUCAGCUUGUUGGUGGGGUAGUGGCUUACCAAGGCUUUGACGGGUAGCCGGCCUGAGAGGGUGACCGGCCACAUUGGGACUGAGAUACGGCCCAGACUCCUACGGGAGGCAGCAGUGGGGAAUAUUGCACAAUGGGCGGAAGCCUGAUGCAGCAACGCCGCGUGCGGGAUGACGGCCUUCGGGUUGUAAACCGCUUUCGCCUGUGACGAAGCGUGAGUGACGGUAAUGGGUAAAGAAGCACCGGCUAACUACGUG
RNAcentral lists this ribosomal RNA (467 nucleotides) under uncultured bacterium. RNAcentral's name for it is "partial 16S ribosomal RNA". It matches the Rfam family "Bacterial small subunit ribosomal RNA", at positions 29 to 507 of the family's 1533-position model. The record is from RNAcentral.